AAAUUGAAGAGUUUGAUCAUGGCUCAGAUUGAACGCUGGCGGCAGGCCUAACACAUGCAAGUCGAACGGUAACAGGAAGCAGCUUGCUGCUUUGCUGACGAGUGGCGGACGGGUGAGUAAUGUCUGGGAAACUGCCUGAUGGAGGGGGAUAACUACUGGAAACGGUAGCUAAUACCACAUAACGUCGCAAGACCAAAGAGGGGGACCUUCGGGCCUCUUGCCAUCGGAUGUGCCCAGAUGGGAUUAGCUUGUUGGUGGGGUAACGGCUCACCAAGGCGACGAUCCCUAGCUGGUCUGAGAGGAUGACCAGCCACACUGGAACUGAGACACGGUCCAGACUCCUACGGGAGGCAGCAGUGGGGAAUAUUGCACAAUGGGCGCAAGCCUGAUGCAGCCAUGCCGCGUGUAUGAAGAAGGCCUUCGGGUUGUAAAGUACUUUCAGCGGGGAGGAAGGGAGUAAAGUUAAUACCUUU
Molecule: ribosomal RNA, 473 nt
Filed under: Escherichia coli
Lineage: Bacteria; Pseudomonadati; Pseudomonadota; Gammaproteobacteria; Enterobacterales; Enterobacteriaceae
Description: bacterial SSU rRNA
Rfam family: Bacterial small subunit ribosomal RNA
Source: RNAcentral